GCGUUCUUAGCUCAGUGGUUAGAGCAUCACCUUGACAUGGUGGGGGUCGAUGGUUCAAAUCCAUUAGAACGCAUCA
This 76-nucleotide transfer RNA is filed under the name Pantoea sp. Mhis. RNAcentral's name for it is "tRNA-Val". It matches the Rfam family "tRNA". From Rfam's summary of the family: Transfer RNA (tRNA) molecules are approximately 80 nucleotides in length. Their secondary structure includes four short double-helical elements and three loops (D, anti-codon, and T loops). The record is from RNAcentral. Lineage: Bacteria; Pseudomonadati; Pseudomonadota; Gammaproteobacteria; Enterobacterales; Erwiniaceae.